ACAGAGGCCUCAAGCGUUAGGCGGAAUCACUGGGCUUAAAGCGUGUGUAGGCGGAUCGUUAAGUGCCUUGUGAAAUCCCACGGCUUAACUGUGGAACGGCUGGGCAUACUGGCGGUCUUGAGCCAUCUAGGGGCGACUGGAACAAACGGUGGAGCGGUGAAAUGCGUAGAUAUCGAGAGGAGCACCUGCGGCGAAGGCGGGUUGCUGGGCUGACACUGACGCUGAUUGUGCGAAAGCUAGGGGAGCGAACGGGA
This 254-nucleotide ribosomal RNA is filed under the name uncultured prokaryote. Its description in RNAcentral is "partial 16S ribosomal RNA". It matches the Rfam family "Bacterial small subunit ribosomal RNA", at positions 525 to 777 of the family's 1533-position model. The record is from RNAcentral.